This 339-nucleotide ribosomal RNA is filed under the name bacterium. Its description in RNAcentral is "bacterial SSU rRNA". It matches the Rfam family "Bacterial small subunit ribosomal RNA", at positions 296 to 653 of the family's 1533-position model. The record is from RNAcentral.
GAGGAUGAUCGCCACAUUGGGACUGAGACCCGGCCCAAACUCCUACCGGAGGCAGCCUGGGGGAAUAUUGGACAAUGGGCGCAAGCCUGAUCCAGCCAUGCCGCGUGAGUGAUGAAGGCCCUAGGGUUGUAAAGCUCUUUCACCGAUGAAGAUAUUGACGGUGUCCGGAGAAUAAGCCCCGGCUAACUUCGUGCCAACAGCCGCGGCAAUACAAAGGGGGCUAGCGUUGUUCGGAAUUACUGGGCGUAACGCGCACGUAGGCGGAUCGAUCAAAUUAGGGUGAAAUCCCAGGUCUCAACCCUGGAACUGCCUUUGAUACUGUCGAUCUGGACUAUGGAA